CCUACGGGAGGCAGCAGUGGGGAAUAUUGGACAAUGGGGGAAACCCUGAUCCAGCAAUGCCGCGUGAGUGAUGAAGGCCUUAGGGUCGUAAAGCUCUUUUACCAGGGAUGAUAAUGACAGUACCUGGAGAAUAAGCUCCGGCUAACUCCGUGCCAGCAGCCGCGGUAAUACGGAGGGAGCUAGCGUUGUUCGGAAUUACUGGGCGUAAAGCGUGCGUAGGCGGUUAUUCAAGUCAGAGGUGAAAGCCCGGGGCUCAACCCCGGAACGGCCUUUGAAACUAGAUAACUAGAAUCUUGGAGAGGUCAGUGGAAUUCCGAGUGUAGAGGUGAAAUUCGUAGAUAUUCGGAAGAACACCAGUGGCGAAGGCGACUGACUGGACAAGUAUUGACGCUGAGGUACGAAAGCGUGGGGAGCAAACAGGAUUAGAUACCCUGGUAGUCCACGCCGUAAACGAUGAUAACUAGCUGUCCGGACACUUGGUGUUUGGGUGGCGCAGCUAACGCAUUAAGUUAUCCGCCUGGGGAGUACGGUCGCAAGNUUAAAACUCAAAGGAAUUGACGG
This 561-nucleotide ribosomal RNA is filed under the name uncultured bacterium. RNAcentral describes it as "bacterial SSU rRNA". It matches the Rfam family "Bacterial small subunit ribosomal RNA", at positions 338 to 916 of the family's 1533-position model. The record is from RNAcentral.